AAAGCUGGACGGAGAAGCAGCAGUUCCUUUCUUUUUGUGCACAAGCUGGUCCUGGCUAGCUAGUAAAGUUAUCUGCAACUGCAAGUACAGCGUCGUUCCCAACUUCCCAAGCAAAGAAGCCAUUAUUUUAGGAACAGUAGUGGCGAGGUCAGUGGGGAGACGAGAGACAACUAAACAACUUGGCCCGAAGAACGCGACGUCCAUUACCAUUUAGUCUCCGG
RNAcentral lists this long non-coding RNA (221 nucleotides) under Setaria italica (foxtail millet). Its description in RNAcentral is "long non-coding RNA (SITA_LNC000603)". The record is from RNAcentral. Lineage: Eukaryota; Viridiplantae; Streptophyta; Magnoliopsida; Poales; Poaceae.